CAGUCGCCGCGGUAAUACGAAGGGGGCUAGCGUUGCUCGGAAUGACUGGGCGUAAAGGGCGCGUAGGCGGAUUGUUUAGUUAGGCGUGAAAUUCCUGGGCUUAACCUGGGGACUGCGCUUAAUACAGGCAGUCUAGAGUGAGGAAGAGGGCUGUGGAAUUCCCAGUGUAGAGGUGAAAUUCGUAGAUAUUCGCAGGAACACCAGAGGCGAAGGCGGCUAACUGGUCCAUAACUGACGCUGAGGUGCGAAAGCGUGGGGAGCAAUCAGGAUUAGAUACCCCUGUAGUCCCUGUCUCUUAUAC
This 301-nucleotide ribosomal RNA is filed under the name uncultured bacterium. Its description in RNAcentral is "partial 16S ribosomal RNA". It matches the Rfam family "Bacterial small subunit ribosomal RNA", at positions 509 to 807 of the family's 1533-position model. The record is from RNAcentral.